CGUCGGCUGAAGCUCCUGCCGGUUAUAUAACAACGCACGCACCGGCUGUAGCUGCUUUCUCUGAGACGCUCGGACGCCCCCAGGAUGCUCUAGAAGAACCCCCUUCCCGGCCACCGGCUCCUCAACUAGUAGUUUCUUCCAUUGUAUCAGAGACCCUUUCCCAAGAAGAUACACACCUGGGCAGGGACCAUCCUUUUAGGAUCCAUUGCGUGAAUGACAGAGGAAGUGCCCUCCAGUGCACUUAGUGAGGUCAACCUACGUCUUCUUUGCCACGAUGACAUAGACACAGUGAAGCAGCUCUGUGGUGACUGGUUCCCAAUUGAGUACCCUGACUCAUGGUAUCGUGACAUCACUUCCAAUAAGAAAUUUUUUUCUCUUGCUGCAACUUACAGAGGAGCCAUUGUGGGUAUGAUAGUUGCUGAAAUAAAAAGUAGGACAAAGGUACAUAAAGAGGAUGGAGAUAUUCUAGCCUCAAACUUCUCUGUUGAUACACAAGUCGCAUACAUCUUAAGUCUAGGAGUGGUAAAAGAGUUCAGAAAGCAUGGAAUAGGUUCCCUUUUACUUGAAAGCCUAAAGGAUCACAUAUCUACGACGGCUCAAGACCACUGCAAAGCCAUCUACCUGCAUGUCCUCACCACUAACAAUACAGCAAUAAACUUCUAUGAAAACAGAGACUUUAAGCAACACCACUAUCUACCCUAUUAUUACUCCAUAAGAGGAGUCCUCAAAGAUGGCUUCACCUAUGUACUCUACAUCAAUGGGGGGCAUCCUCCUUGGACAAUUUUUGACUACCUUCAGCACAUUGGGUCUGCAUUAGCAAACCUGAGCCCAUGUUCAAUUCCACAGCGGAUUUAUCGCCAGGCCCAGAGUCUUCUUUGCAGCCUUCUGCCGUGGUCAAGCAUUUCAGCCAAGAGUGGCAUCGAGUACAGCAGAGCCAUGUGAUUGGUCAGAAGGCCCUCCCCAGAAGCCACCAAGAGGUGCCUGAGUAUCCAGUUAUCUUCACCUGAGAGCCUCGCCUCUACACCACAAUAAACCAGUCCAGUAGGACUGGCUCACAAGGUGGAGGUGCCACCUGCUAGGCUGCCAACCCAAGCUGCUGCUCAGUGAGCCUUGGGGAGCCCAGGGUCAGCAGACCAGGGGAUGACGAUGGAGAGGCACAUGGAGAGCUUCUGCUCCCAAAGCCAUUUAUUUCUGCACUGAUGCUGCUAACCCUGGCUUCCAUGAACUCUCCCCAUCUGUUCUAGCAAGUCUGCCCUCUGUGGACCAGAUGGAGAUUUGGCCUGACUUAUUGUGGUGUCCCCUUCUCCCCUCUCCUGGGAAUAGGAGGAUGUGAGUGGAUUUUCUCCCUCCCUACCCAGCUUCUUUGCCGGGAACCGCAGAACCUGACAGCUGAAGAGGAGCGCUCCACCCCACCUGUACCCCCCCCCCCCCCUUCACUCCCCCACUGGCGGGCAUGAGCUGCCCACAUGACCUCGGCUCCUUCCUGCUGAAUCAACAAGGCUGGCCUUGAGGAGAGUGUGGCUUCAGAGCAAUAGAGCAAGUGAUUGCGGGAGGUCAGAGACCCUCCCACGGCAGAAUAUAGGCCAGGCCAGCUCAGAGCUGAGGCUCAGCCCAGGAAGGUAGCGCAGAAGCUACUCCUGCCUCGCCUGUCAGGACCAUGAAGAUAUCUAGGCACAGAGCCUUUGCCGUCGUCCCCCAGAACAAAUCACCGUGUCCGAUGGUCCGACUUCUCCAGCACAGUGGACUCUUGAUGACCUUGAGUAGGGUGGCUUGAUAGCUAGGGCUCAUUCCUCCCUGGUUCCCACCUUAAGGACGUACUCUCUGUUCCCGUCUGCCUUGGACUUUGCACUGAAGAGAGAGAUCACAAUUCCUAUUUCAUAGUGAAAUACAUUGUCUGCCUCCGCUGAACUGGUCCUCAGGUGGGAAGGAUGAGAGCUCUGCAGUACUCCCGAGACCAGGCCUAGGAUUUCCCAUCUAGAGCAUCACCUUACCUGAACCUCCUCAGCCAUUACUCCAACCAGAGCCAACACGAAUCCUCUUUGUACAGGAAGUUAUGAACAUGGGUCCCAACCUCUGGUUCCUCUGGUGUAGUCCCUGUCAGAGGCUCUGAUCCGAGAGGCUCAGAGCCACGUGCCUUGUAGCUUUCAGCCCCUAUGGAGAGGAUUUUUUUCUUCUUCUGGAUUCACUGAGGGGAGGACACCAUGGCAGUCACUCAGCUGUUUCAGUUCUGUGAAAUGUACUCGCAGCAUGAGAUCUGUCAUUACCAUUACAUUCAGUUGUCUCCGACGCCCCAGGAGCCCCUAUGUUUUCUAGGUACAGUUUAGUUCCAGCUUGCAGGAGUACCCACUGUCCGGUGUUACAAGCAGCCAUUCUUCCACAUCUCUAAACCUGAGUUGGGGAGGGGAGAAAAACACAAACCUCAUCCUUCCCUGCCCCAUAUAAAUCAAAUUCUCCUUUCAAAAUUCUGUUUCCCUUUUAGACUCUUAUAGCUCUCAGGACCUUACCAUCACCCUAGGGUAAGCAGUUACCAUCUUCUCAUCCUAACAAUGGGCCUGCCCGCCCUGGUGGUGACCUCCUGCGGAGGCACAACGGUUAUUGAAACCUUGAAAUUAAGGGGGAUCCCUUGGGCAGGACAACCAUUCACCAUUUUGUGUGUCCAUCACUCAAUGGAGGUUUGUGUUCCUCCUCCCUCUUGUCCUGAGGGUGGGCAGACACUUUAAAGUACUUGAUUUUAAGAGAAAUUAGGGGCACUGGUGACACCAGUGGCACAAGUGAGGUUAGUUUCUACUAAAUCGGUUUUGGUAGUUUGGAUGCUGGCCAGUGCUGAGACCCCAUAUUUAAUGAUAAAAUAAAGAUGUUCAUCUGAUUUUGUUUUCUGUGCUGAGGGGUGGGGAGAAGUCUUCCAGAUCUGAAACCUUUUGACAUCUAGUAUUCAAGCUAAGUUGCCAUGGCCCCUCAGCAUUCCCUUUCUCCCAUAAUCACUGUAGUGUCCAACUUGGUGUUGAAUGGAUUGUAGUGUUUUGUCUUAUUAGGAAAAAACAACAGAAUAAAACCUUAAUCAAAUUUAA
Monodelphis domestica (gray short-tailed opossum) is the source of this 3068-nucleotide RNA transcript. It is a transcript of the gene named N-alpha-acetyltransferase 60, NatF catalytic subunit, with no coding region annotated. The record is from RefSeq and is a predicted model, not a curated record. NCBI's taxonomy places the organism in Eukaryota, Metazoa, Chordata, Mammalia, Didelphimorphia, Didelphidae.